This 164-nucleotide unclassified non-coding RNA is filed under the name uncultured Sydowia. RNAcentral's name for it is "sequence contains ITS2". Lineage: Eukaryota; Fungi; Ascomycota; Dothideomycetes; Dothideales; Dothioraceae. The record is from RNAcentral.
CACCACUCAAGCACAGCUUGGUAUUGGGCAACCGCCCCCGCCAGUCGGGGACGCGCCUCAAACACCUCGGCGGAGCCUCACCGGCUUUGGGCGUAGUAGAAUUUCUAAUAACGUCCUUUAACGGAGAUGGUUCCUUUGCCGAUAGAAUCUUUUAAAUUUUUCUA